This 494-nucleotide ribosomal RNA is filed under the name uncultured bacterium. RNAcentral's name for it is "partial 16S ribosomal RNA". It matches the Rfam family "Bacterial small subunit ribosomal RNA", at positions 28 to 507 of the family's 1533-position model. The record is from RNAcentral.
GACGAACGCUGGCGGCGUGCUUAACACAUGCAAGUCGAACGGAAAGGCCUGCUUUCCCUUGUGGAUUGCGGGUACUCGAGUGGCGAACGGGUGAGUAACACGUGAGUGAUCUGCCCCCAACUUGGGUAUAAGCCUGGGAAACUGGGUCUAAUUCCCGAUAGGACUGCAGGGUGGUGCCUGUGGUGGAAAACGAUUUUCUAGUGGUUGGGGAUGAGCUCGCGGCCUAUCAGCUUGUUGGUGGGGUAAUGGCCUACCAAGGCGGCGACGGGUAGCCGGCCUGAGAGGGUGGACGGCCACAUUGGGACUGGGGUACGGCCCAGACUGCUACGGGAGGCAGGAGUGGGGAAUAUUGCACAAUGGGCGGAAGCCUGAUGCAGCGACGCCGCGUGGGAGGUGACGGCCUUCGGGUUGUAAACUCCUUUGGAACGCGAGGAAGCCACCUGGUUGGAAGGGUGGUGACGGUAGUGGUAGAAGAAGCACCGGCUAACUACGUG